CCAAUAGCGUAUAUUAAAGUUGUUGCAGUUAAAAAGCUCGUAGUUGAAUUUCGGGAUUCUACCGUUGGUCGGGCAAUAGUCUGUACUGGCGUGUGGAAUUUCUACCUUCUGGGGAACCGUCAUGUUAUUUAUUUAGCGUGGUGAGAAACCAGGACCUUUACCUUGAAAAAAUUAGAGUGUUCAAAGCAGGCUUACGUCUGAAUACAUUAGCAUGGAAUAAUAAAAUAGGACGGUGGUCCUGUUUUGUUGGUUUCUGAAUCACCGUAAUGAUUAAUAGGGAUAGUUGGGGGCAUUAGUAUUCAAUUGUCAGAGGUGAAAUUCUUGGAUUUAUUGAAGACUAACUUCUGCGAAAGCAUUUGCCAAGGAUGUUUUCAUUAAUCAAGAACGAAAGUUAGGGGAUCGAAGACGAUCAGAUACCGUCGUAGUCUUAACCAUAAACUAUGCCGACUAGGGAUCGGACGAUGUUAAUUUUUCUUGACUCGUUCGGCGCCUUACG
Molecule: ribosomal RNA, 496 nt
Filed under: uncultured Glomeromycotina
Lineage: Eukaryota; Fungi; Glomeromycota
Description: partial small subunit ribosomal RNA
Rfam family: Eukaryotic small subunit ribosomal RNA
Source: RNAcentral